AUGAACGCUGGCGGCGUGCCUAAUACAUGCCAGUCGAGCGAACGGACGAGAAGCUUGCUUCUCUGAUGUUAGCGGCGGACGGGUGAGUAACACGUGGAUAACCUACCUAUAAGACUGGGAUAACUUCGGGAAACCGGAGCUAAUGCCGGAUAAUAUUUUGAACCGCAUGGUUCAAAAGUGAAAGACGGUCUUGCUGUCACUUAUAGAUGGAUCCGCGCUGCAUUAGCUAGUUGGUAAGGUAACGGCUUACCAAGGCAACGAUGCAUAGCCGACCUGAGAGGGUGAUCGGCCACACUGGAACUGAGACACGGUCCAGACUCCUACGGGAGGCAGCAGUAGGGAAUCUUCCGCAAUGGGCGAAAGCCUGACGGAGCAACGCCGCGUGAGUGAUGAAGGUCUUCGGAUCGUAAAACUCUGUUAUUAGGGAAGAACAUAUGUGUAAGUAACUGUGCACAUCUUGACGGUACCUAAUCAGAAAGCCACGGCUAACUACGUG
This 496-nucleotide ribosomal RNA is filed under the name uncultured bacterium. RNAcentral's name for it is "partial 16S ribosomal RNA". It matches the Rfam family "Bacterial small subunit ribosomal RNA", at positions 29 to 507 of the family's 1533-position model. The record is from RNAcentral.